UCACUGGAGUUUCUAAACUCCAUCAAAGAUGUGCUCAACAAUCUAU
Oryzias latipes (Japanese medaka) is the source of this 46-nucleotide non-coding RNA. The record is from Rfam. Lineage: Eukaryota; Metazoa; Chordata; Actinopteri; Beloniformes; Adrianichthyidae.